AUAUAUUUUAACAUAUAUGUGAUAGUAAUCUCACAAUAACUAAUGUGAAUGCAAAAUUUGGUGGAUCCACGCAUGACUCACAUAUAUGGUCAUCCAGUAUUGUUGAGUCAUAUAUGCGUGAACUUCAUGAAAAUAAUGAACAAGCAUGGUUAUUAGGUGAUUCUGGCUAUCCUCUACGUCCAUGGCUAAUGACUCCUAUCCUCAAUGCGGCCCAAGGUUCAAGAGAAGAAAAUUAUACCCAAAGACAUGUGCAAGCCAGAAACUGUAUAGAGCGGUGUUUCGGAUUAUUGAAAGCCCGCUGGCGAUACCUUCUUAAGGACAGGGUUUUACAUUAUGACCCAUUUGUGGCAAGCAAAAUAACCAUGGCUUGUUGUGUAUUACACAAUUUAAUCUUAAAGGCUGGAAUUCCUCAAGACCUCUCUGCAGUACAUGAUGAUGGGGAUCAUUUUUCGCCACUAGAUCCAGCAUCUACUGCUUCUGUAGGCAGCCAAAGCCAUAAUGAGUUACUGCAAGGGAGAGCUGUACUCAAUUGUUUGUUAAGCAGGAUUUGAUAAUUUUUGACAAUUUUUCUCAUUAUUUUUAGUAAAUUAUAUAAAUAACAAAACCUGUAUUUUAUUGCUGUCUUCUUUAUUUAUUUUUUACAACUUACAGCUGUGUGAGACAUAUUAGGCAGUAGUACGGUAAAGAUAAAGAAAAAAAAAAUUGUACAAGUAAUGUAAUAUUUAGGCUA
Molecule: long non-coding RNA, 730 nt
Organism: Trichoplusia ni (cabbage looper)
Lineage: Eukaryota; Metazoa; Arthropoda; Insecta; Lepidoptera; Noctuidae
Exons: 3
Source: RefSeq, a predicted model, not a curated record